UUUCGGCAGUUUCCAUCAAAACAUCAACCGCGGACGGAUUAUUUGCGACAAAAAUGCUUCCUCUCGGGUGGCCAAGGAAUAAUCGUCGUGAUGCUGCGUGUCACCCAUCCGGUUGAAAGUGUGGUUCCCGUUGGAAAUGUUGUGGUGCGAAUCUGGGACUGUUUGCAGCGCAGCAAAUAGGACACGGAACAUUUUUGCCUGAUGAUCUGCAGCUGGCAGAUUCUGGGACUCAUCAGGAUGAGGAGGAAGAACGAAGUGGACAGCGGAGGAGUAGUUUAUUUGUGCAUAAGAGGAAGAACUACUUAAAGGAAAAGAAAUGCACGUACCAGCUUGUCGUGUCGUGAGAUCGACGGAUUUCCGAGGAUCUUCGUGCGACGGACGGAGGGUUCAGAACUGACCGAGCGAGAUGCGAUAUUUCGAGGUGUGCGAUCAAGCGGUCGGGGUUGCGAGACAUUCAGAGACGACUGGAAGAGGAAGUGUACGUGGUUCGAUGAAAAGUGGUUCCCAUACGCCGAGAUCACGAGGCAAUAGUAAUUGUCGAGGCGGAUUUGUAUUUGUGCUGGUAAGGCUUCCGGGAAAAGGCAGGAAGAGGAGGAGAGGAGAGGAGGGGAGCAAAAUAAAUCUAGAAAUAAGUCACGGUCUGCAUUAUUCAAACUCCGUUGUUUAGCAGCACCGGCGGGCCAUCCCGAUCUGGCCAUUGGCAACGGGGGAACAUCCGCUGUCAAUUCGACAAUCUUCUCGGUCUCGGUAGAACAUUCCCGGAAGAACAACUUGGCCAUCGGCGCAACGAGCACAAAAGCACCAUCAGCCCACCAGCAACCGCAUCCACGAGUUUACCAAAACUUGAACGUUGGCAGAGCGGGUACUGCCACGAUCGACUUAUUCAACCAGCUUGCCCUGACCGAAUCAACGGCGAUUAACUAGCGGAAGUCAGGACUUCAUUAACCCGCAGAACCCCCCUCCCGAUAAGUUCUCUCUUCAGUGAAGGUCUGCACGAUCGACUCUGAAGGUCCUAGACCCUGGACCCGGGAAGAUGCGCUGGCUUGCUGAAUAAUGCCUUGUACGACAAGGUCACAAUCUACAAAAUCGACGUUACAAUGUUCCUCCAGCAGCAGCAGCAGCAGCAAACGUCGCCUGUUUCCACUGGUGUUCCCGUGCUGGUGCGAGAGCCGAACAUUCGAUAGAUGUUCUGAGAAUGUAAGUUUGACGCAUCAGAUACAAACCGUAUCCACUUCAUUCACGGUAAUGACGGUAUCACCACUUCACCGCAUUGGCCGCUGCUGGAAACCAGCUGUUCAUCUAUGUACCCCAGUACCGUAAGUGUUUUUCGUUGUGAUUCAUUGUUUUGGUAGAAGCUGGAAUUUUAUUUUUUAUGUUUGUGAUAACAAAAUAAAUUAAAAAAUAAAAUAAAAAUGUUCGAUAAAAAUUAGUUGUUUACAUUCCUUGUUAUUGAUGACAAUUCGAUAUCUAUCCCAUCAUCCACAUCAACUCAUCCGCAAAACACAACUUUUGAGAUACAAUAUUCCACUGUAAUAGGUAAAUUUGAUCAUUUUCUGUGGAAAAUUUACCUCAUAUAUGAGGUAAAUUUUCAUCAUAUAUGAGGUAAUUUUACACAUUUUUAGAGGUAAAAUUAA
This is a long non-coding RNA of Culex quinquefasciatus (southern house mosquito), 1634 nucleotides long. RefSeq lists it as uncharacterized. The transcript has 3 exons. The record is from RefSeq and is a predicted model, not a curated record. NCBI's taxonomy places the organism in Eukaryota, Metazoa, Arthropoda, Insecta, Diptera, Culicidae.